This 247-nucleotide ribosomal RNA is filed under the name uncultured bacterium. RNAcentral's name for it is "partial 16S ribosomal RNA". It matches the Rfam family "Bacterial small subunit ribosomal RNA", at positions 796 to 1041 of the family's 1533-position model. The record is from RNAcentral.
CACGCCAUAAACGAUGGACACUUGGUGUUGGAGGUAUUGACCCCUUCAGUGCCGAAGCUAACGCGUUAAGUGUCCCGCCUGGGGAGUACGGCCGCAAGGUUAAAACUCAAAGAAAUUGACGGGGGCCCGCACAAGCGGUGGAGCAUGUGGUUUAAUUCGAUGCAACGCGAAGAACCUUACCCGGGUUUGACAUGAUUUGGAAGAGUGGCAGAGAUGUCCUCGCCCGCAAGGGCCGAAUCACAGGUGC